UGGGGAAUCUUCCGCAAUGGACGAAAGUCUGACGGAGCAACGCCGCGUGAGUGAAGAAGGUUUUCGGAUCGUAAAACUCUGUCUUUUGGGGCGAACGUGAGUAUGGUGAACAAUCAUAGUCAGUGACGGUACCAAAGGAGGAAGCCACGGCUAACUACGUGCCAGCAGCCGCGGUAAUACGUAGGUGGCAAGCGUUGUCCGGAAUUAUUGGGCGUAAAGAGCGCGUAGGCGGGAUAGUCAGUCUGUUGUAAAAGUGCGGGGCUCAACCCCGUGAUGGCAAUGGAAACAGCUAUUCUUGAGUGCAGGAGAGGAAAGUGGAAUUCCCAGUGUAGCGGUGAAAUGCGUAGAUAUUGGGAGGAACACCAGUGGCGAAGGCGACUUUCUGGACUGUGUCUGACGCUGAGGCGCGAAAGCCAGGGGAGCGAACGGGAUUAGAUACCCCGGUAGUCCUGGCCGUAAACGAUGGGUACUAGGUGUGGGAGGUAUCGACCCCUUCCGUGCCGGAGUUAACGCAAUAAGUACCCCGCCUGGGGAGUACGGUCGCAAGACUGAAACUCAAAUGAAUUGACGGGGUCAUAGCUGUUU
RNAcentral lists this ribosomal RNA (585 nucleotides) under uncultured bacterium. RNAcentral describes it as "partial 16S ribosomal RNA". It matches the Rfam family "Bacterial small subunit ribosomal RNA", at positions 355 to 935 of the family's 1533-position model. The record is from RNAcentral.